Microcebus murinus (gray mouse lemur) is the source of this 616-nucleotide non-coding RNA. NCBI's taxonomy places the organism in Eukaryota, Metazoa, Chordata, Mammalia, Primates, Cheirogaleidae. The record is from RefSeq and is a predicted model, not a curated record.
ACAGGAAGUGGGGCUGUUGUUAGGGACGCGCCCUUAGAUGGAACAGGAAGUGGGCCUGUUGUUAGGGACGCGCCCUUAGAUGGAACAGGAAGUGGGGCUGUUGUUAGGGACGCGCCCUUAGAUGGAACAGGAAGGGGGCCCUGUUGUUAGGGACGCGCCCUUAGCUACGCCCAGGAACAGGAAGGGGGCGCGGCAGGGAGCGGCAGGGAGCGGGAAGGGAUCAUCAAGUGUCUCAAAGGGCCAGGACUGCCGACCCCAGAUACAGCAAUCGGCUCCCAGCCCACCAUUGCCAGGUUUCGUUUUUAUCCAGCAAGUCUCCUAUUUCCAUCCACUAGUCCUCCUGUGUUUGGGGCAUGCGGGGAAUUUUGCAUUGUCUCCAAGCCGUGCACGAUCCAUGAUGAUUUCACGUGUGGGGGAUACCAUCUUAGCCCCACCUAACUAGACUCAUUUUCAUCCAUCUUUCACCUUCAUAAGGAACCAUAUUGUUUCUGAACAAAGCUGAGUGUGGUGCUGACCUGAAGAUUUUAUAGUUUUUUUAUUUUUUUGGCUAUGUCUUGGAGGUUAAAAGGAAACCCUGCUUCUCUAUGAAUUAAAUGAUUUUAUCUAAAUGUUUUUA